CUAUUGCGAAGUUUCCAAUCUACUACAGUCGACCCCUUUCCGAACAUCAUGCGAUAUCCGGCAAUCCGCUCAUCGGAUUUCUUAACGGAUUGCGCCAUCGUGUUCAACAUGACGAGGGCAUCUAAACUACAAUUUCAUUUCAUUCAUUUCGCCCGCUGAUUUGCUACAAAAUCAACCCUCUUGGUUCCACCAUAUAACACACACACAUAUAUAUAUAUACACCAUAUAUAUAUAUAAUCCAAUGAAACCCAUUUUUCUCGAAAAUCGUGCAUCAAAUCAGAAAUCCGCCAGU
This 292-nucleotide long non-coding RNA is filed under the name Ananas comosus (pineapple). Its description in RNAcentral is "long non-coding RNA (ACOM_LNC044716)". The record is from RNAcentral. Lineage: Eukaryota; Viridiplantae; Streptophyta; Magnoliopsida; Poales; Bromeliaceae.